Molecule: long non-coding RNA, 755 nt
Organism: Ostrea edulis (European flat oyster)
Lineage: Eukaryota; Metazoa; Mollusca; Bivalvia; Ostreida; Ostreidae
Exons: 2
Source: RefSeq, a predicted model, not a curated record
AAUUUUCCUAGCGCUUUCUCUAUUUUUGUUACAUUGUUGAAAGUAUGAACUUUGCGAAAAUAACACUUAUCUAAAUUUAAAAAUUAUCGUUUUAACGUAAAAAUUAAUACUUUUUGAUGGCCUAUACAAAAAAUAUCGAGACUCCUCCUUUCAGUCUUCAGACGCAUGCGCAUAGACAGUAAACAGUGCAGCAUGUCGUCCAGUGAGAGAAAGUGUAGUUGAUAGAUCUAGAAUUUUGAAAGAUUCUGUGAGAAAAGAGGUAAAAAUAGAAUGAGAUAAAACUCAUACGUGAAAUAAAAUUUACCUUACAUGGUAUCAGUUUGACCGUUGGAAAACAAAGAGCUCGGAGAAACCCAUGUAACUCAGUGGCGGAUCUAGGAUUUCCGAAGGGGGUGUGAAAGUCAAAGAUUAGCCACAGUAAUCGGCCAUUAUGGUGCAAAAUUUGGAUUUUCAUUCACAAUCUGUGGCGGAAAAAGGGAGGGGGAUCCCCCCUAAAUCUGCCAUUGAGACUAGCUGCGAAGACACUACUUUUAAAAGAGCAGGGAAUACUCUUAUACUUGAAAGGUGAGUGUGGACCCCCUUGAAGGGGAAUUUAAAUAAUUUCCUACACAACACCUUUGCUGUCAUUCAAAACCACGUGAUGUAAAUAAGCAUUCAAAAGUCCGAGUCAGAAUGAAGAAACCUUUGAAUUCCGAACGAUCUUCAAAGCGCAGUUGAGAGUAAAUUGAUGCAUCCCAAUUGUUCAUAAUUGUCAG